RNAcentral lists this long non-coding RNA (551 nucleotides) under Mytilus galloprovincialis (Mediterranean mussel). Lineage: Eukaryota; Metazoa; Mollusca; Bivalvia; Mytilida; Mytilidae. The record is from RNAcentral.
GCGCACACUGAUAUGACUACAGAGGUGGAAACCUGAACAGUUGGGCACAAUAUUCAAGCUUGAUGCUCGAUUGUGAUCAAUAAAAUAAUGAAUAAAAAUCCCCCCCCCACCUUUUAUAAUCCUCCUGAGAGCAAUUACCCCUAUACUCAAUCUCAGCCUUUUCUUCAUAGUAUGGAACUCUAUAGUAAAAUUUUAGAGAGAUCCGUUCACUUAAACACAAGUUAUUGUCAAUGUCUGGAAACUAGAAAAAUGCUUGUUUUUGGAUACUUUUUUGCCCUUAAUUCCUGAAUGUUUGGGGCAAUUACUCCCAAACUCAAUCCCAGCCUUCAUUUUAUGAUAUGGAACUUUUUGGUACAAGUUAUUGUCCACUAUCCCAAAAAUUCUGGGGUUUUUGUCCCUUAUUCAUACCUGUUGAUACAAAAACUCCAAAAAACAAUCCCAACAUUCCUUUUGUGGUAUUGAACCUUCUUGUAAAAUUUCAUAGAGAUCCAUUUACUUAAACUAAAGUUAUUGUUUGGAACCAAAUGUGUCCUCGGACGACGAUGACAACA